RNAcentral lists this ribosomal RNA (433 nucleotides) under uncultured bacterium. RNAcentral describes it as "bacterial SSU rRNA". It matches the Rfam family "Bacterial small subunit ribosomal RNA", at positions 29 to 507 of the family's 1533-position model. The record is from RNAcentral.
AACGAACGCUGGCGGCAUGCCUAACACAUGCAAGUCGAACGAUCACUUCGGUGAUAGUGGCGCACGGGUGCGUAACGCGUGGGAACCUGCCCUUAGGUUCGGAAUAACUCAGAGAAAUUUGAGCUAAUACCGGAUAAUGUCUUCGGACCAAAGAUUUAUCGCCUUUGGAUGGGCCCGCGUUGGAUUAGCUUGUUGGUGGGGUAAAAGCCUACCAAGGCGACGAUCCAUAGCUGGUCUGAGAGGAUGAUCAGCCACACUGGGACUGAGACACGGCCCAGACUCCUACGGGAGGCAGCAGUGGGGAAUAUUGGACAAUGGGCGAAAGCCUGAUCCAGCAAUGCCGUGUGAGUGAUGAAGGCCUUAGGGUUGUAAAGCUCUUUUACUAGGGAUGAUAAUGACAGUACCUAGAGAAUAAGCUCCGGCUAACUCCGUG